GAAAUGCGAUAAGUAAUGUGAAUUGCAGAAUUCAGUGAAUCAUCGAAUCUUUGAACGCAUCUUGCGCUCCUUGGUAUUCCGAGGAGCAUGCCUGUUUGAGUGUCAUUUAAUUCUCAACCCCUCCAGUUUUCUUGACUGGCUUGGUGGUUGGAUAUGGGGGAAUUAUCUGCGGGCCUCUUCAGAGGUCGGCUCCCCUGAAAUGCAUUAGCGGAACCGUUUGCGGUACUGUCACUGGUGUGAUAACUAUCUACGCCAAAGGACGUCUGCUCUCUGGUAGUUCUGCUUCAAAUCGUCCCUUUGCUUGGACAAUGAAUUAUUCAAUUUCUUGACCUCAAAUCAGGUAGGACUACCCGCUGAACUUAA
Molecule: unclassified non-coding RNA, 363 nt
Filed under: uncultured Tulostoma
Lineage: Eukaryota; Fungi; Basidiomycota; Agaricomycetes; Agaricales; Agaricaceae
Description: sequence contains ITS1
Rfam family: 5.8S ribosomal RNA (bases 1-105)
Source: RNAcentral